This 404-nucleotide ribosomal RNA is filed under the name uncultured bacterium. RNAcentral's name for it is "bacterial SSU rRNA". It matches the Rfam family "Bacterial small subunit ribosomal RNA", at positions 355 to 776 of the family's 1533-position model. The record is from RNAcentral.
UGGGGAAUCUUAGACAAUGGGGGAAACCCUGAUCUAGCCAUGCCGCGUGAGUGACGAAGGCCCUAGGGUCGUAAAGCUCUUUCGCUGGGGAAGAUAAUGACUGUACCCAGUAAAGAAACCCCGGCUAACUCCGUGCCAGCAGCCGCGGUAAUACGGAGGGGGUUAGCGUUGUUCGGAAUUACUGGGCGUAAAGCGCGCGUAGGCGGACUAUUAAGUCAGAGGUGAAAUCCCGGGGCUCAACCCCGGAACUGCCUUUGAUACUGGUAGUCUUGAGUUCGAGAGAGGUGAGUGGAAUUGCGAGUGUAGAGGUGAAAUUCGUAGAUAUUCGCAGGAACACCAGUGGCGAAGGCGGCUCACUGGCUCGAUACUGACGCUGAGGUGCGAAAGUGUGGGGAGCAAACAGG